This 342-nucleotide long non-coding RNA is filed under the name Elaeis guineensis (African oil palm). Its description in RNAcentral is "long non-coding RNA (EGUI_LNC037800)". Lineage: Eukaryota; Viridiplantae; Streptophyta; Magnoliopsida; Arecales; Arecaceae. The record is from RNAcentral.
GAGCAAAAGUUGCUGUAGAAGUUGUUGGCACUUAUCCUCUUCGAUUACCAUCGAGUUUUAAAUUAGAUUUAAAAGACUGUUAUUUUGUUCCUAUAGCUAGUCGAAAUUUAAUUUUUAUGUCUGUGCUAGCACAGAAAGAUUUUGAAUUAAAUUUUAAUAAAGAUUUUUAUUUUAUUUAUUUAUAAAAUAAAUUAGUUACACAAGAUCUUUUAAUUGACAGUCUAUAUCACUUGCAUGUUGAUGUGAAUGUGAAUUUGAACGAGCAAAUAGUGAGUGCCGUAGAUCAAAAGAGAUCUAGAGAUAAAAUUAACUAGAAGUACUUGUGGCAUCAUAGACUAGGCC